RNAcentral lists this unclassified non-coding RNA (275 nucleotides) under uncultured fungus. Its description in RNAcentral is "partial contains 5.8S ribosomal RNA, internal transcribed spacer 2, and large subunit ribosomal RNA". The stretch from base 1 to 52 matches the Rfam family "5.8S ribosomal RNA", at positions 103 to 154 of the family's 154-position model. Lineage: Eukaryota; Fungi. The record is from RNAcentral.
AACGCACAUUGCGCCCUUUGGUAUUCCGAAGGGCAUGCCUGUUCGAGCGUCAUUAUCACCCCUCAAACCUCCGUGUUUGGAGUUGGGCCUGCGUCCCGCGUCACCCCUGCGUGGACUGGCCCCAAAGAUAAUGACGGCGGCCGUGAGGAUCCCCGGUGCAACGAGCUUCUCUCUCAGGGAGCACGCGUCGAGUGGGAACCACGGCUCUGCCGGUCGUCACCUUUUUACUUUUCAAGGUUGACCUCGGAUCAGGUAGGAAUACCCGCUGAACUUAA